AUCUCCAAUGUCCACUUCAGUAAUUUUUUUAUCUUUUGGAAUCUUCUAAUGUCAUUACUCUCUUUUCUUAUGACAACCUGUCUUCUUCUGCUUUCUUUUCCUCAGCUUUUCUCCUGCAUAAUGUUCAAUCUAUUUUUCAAAUUAAUCAUAAUGUAACCUUUAUCUCUCUCCCUUCUGUACCUGGUAAAAAAGCAGGAUCGAUUAUGAAUAAACCACAAUUAAGUCUAUUCCUUUGUUGAAUAAGGCAUAUCUCAUAUACCUCACAAAUCUAGAGUAGAAGAAUACGGCGUUAAUGAAGUAAUUGCGGUGGGGAGAACUGAGAAGCAAGGACUGUUGUGGUCGGAAAAAAUUGUGGUGAUGAUGAAGAAGACGAUGAAAGAUGAGAACACAAUCAAUUAGAGAAAGGGGUAAAAUCGUCAUUUUUUAUUUCAACAAGUACUUAUUUUUAUAAGCCCAUUAAAAUGUUCUUUUUCUCUAGUUUUUGGCCCAAUAAGUACCCAAUUCUAUAAUACCCCCUAAAAAAGCAUGUGUUUCAUUUAUGUUUUAAAAACACGAAAUAAAAACUAAAAACUGACAGUUCCUUAUCCCCAUGCAUCUAAAAGAUAGUCUCUUUUUUUUUAUUACUAUCCGUUACUUAUAUGGUUCUAUCUGUCUAGAAAUUUGGUAAUACUAAUCAACUAAAGGGUGUGUGCAAAAAAAAAAAAAAAAAUCAACGAAAGGGUGUGUCUAGUUAAAGUGAAAUAUAUAGUUGUG
This 753-nucleotide small RNA is filed under the name Arabidopsis thaliana (thale cress). RNAcentral's name for it is "putative long intergenic non-coding RNA". The record is from RNAcentral. Lineage: Eukaryota; Viridiplantae; Streptophyta; Magnoliopsida; Brassicales; Brassicaceae.